This is a non-coding RNA of Rattus norvegicus (Norway rat), 450 nucleotides long. The record is from RefSeq and is a predicted model, not a curated record. NCBI's taxonomy places the organism in Eukaryota, Metazoa, Chordata, Mammalia, Rodentia, Muridae.
CACUGCAAACAGCAUGAAAUAUCCUGGGAUGCCAAAGGGGAAGAUGUUUCUAGAAAAGCACCCACAUAGCUACAUGAUUUGCCAGGAAUGUUUGAAUGGGCCAUUAUGACAAAACCAAUCCCAGAACCUCAGAUGCGUGUUUCAACACUUCUUUAGCCAUUCUCUACAGCCUGCCUCUUACUGUUAAUGUAAGGUUUUGGUCUUUGUUCUCAUUGGCUCUGACAUCUUUAAGGAAGCCAUUGCUUAAGGAAGAUUGGAUUCGUUGACAGCAUCCACAUGAAACUGUGCUAAGCUUUUGACAGGUACAUCUCGCAGACAGCUUUCACCUUCCAGAGGCAUCCUCAUGGUGUUCCAGCUCCAAUCAUCCCAACGGCACACCCAGAAUGACUUCAACAACACUUGCUUAUUUCUUAUGGCUUCAGAGGUUGGAAAGAUCAAGGUCAGGGUUGU